Molecule: ribosomal RNA, 642 nt
Filed under: Rhizopus arrhizus
Lineage: Eukaryota; Fungi; Mucoromycota; Mucoromycetes; Mucorales; Rhizopodaceae
Description: Rhizopus oryzae partial large subunit ribosomal RNA
Rfam family: Eukaryotic large subunit ribosomal RNA
Source: RNAcentral
GUACGGCGAGUGANAGGAAGAGCUCAAAGUUGGAACCUGUUUGGCCUAGCUAAACCGGAUUGUAGACUGUAGAAGUGUUUUCCAGGCAAGCCGAGUAAAUAAGUCCUUUGGAACAGGGCAUCAUAGAGGGUGAGAAUCCCGUCUUUGGCUUGAGCAUUUGCCUUUUGUGAUACGCUUUCAAAGAGUCAGGUUGUUUGGGAAUGCAGCCUAAAUUGGGUGGUAAAUCUCACCUAAAGCUAAAUAUUGGCGAGAAACCGAUAGCGAACAAGUACCGUGAGGGAAAGAUGAAAAGAACUUUGAAAAGAGAGUUAAACAGUAUGUGAAAUUGUUAAAAGGGAACCGUUUGGAGCCAGACUGGCUUGUCUGUAAUCAAUCUAGGCUUCGGCCUGGAUGCACUUGCAGGCUAUGCCUGCCAACGACAAUUUGACUUGAGGGAAAAAACUAGGGGAAAUGUGGCCCACUUGUGGGUGUUAUAGUCCCUUAGAAAAUACCUUGGGUUGGAUUGAGGAACGCAGCGAAUGCUUAUUGGCGAGUUUUCCAGGAAGGUUUUCUGAGGUACUACGGUAUCAAGGUUGAUCUUUUUGGUUAUACUUCUAUUCGCUUAGGUUGUUGGCUUAAUGACUCUAAAUGACCCGUCUUGAA